Molecule: long non-coding RNA, 750 nt
Organism: Sphaerodactylus townsendi
Lineage: Eukaryota; Metazoa; Chordata; Lepidosauria; Squamata; Sphaerodactylidae
Exons: 2
Source: RefSeq, a predicted model, not a curated record
CACAAGGUGUGGGGAGAGGAAGGGAAAGGAGCUUGUAAGCCACCUUGAGUCUCCUUAAAGGAGAGAAAGGUGGGGUAUAAAUACAAACACUACUUCUUCCUCUGCUCACUUUUCUUCUGAUCAUCAGGUUUGUGAAUUCUGAGAAAAUGGGCCAAACAUCAACAGCAGGGCAAAUGCCAGAAUGUGCGCUCUGGGCAAUACCCGUGACGACCCCCUCCUGAAGCUACCCCUGGUGCUUACUUGGAAAGGCAAAGGUGGGGUUUAGUCCAUCCCUCGGACAGGAUUUUCACUUCCCCGAAACCCAGGAGUUCUUAAUUUUUAAUCCGUCACUACCUACUGAGUUCGCAACAUCACAAUGGAAUUCACCAGUUAAAAGUUUGGAUACAGCAGAGUUAUCUUCCAAAUGGUUUCUGCUAAAUUGCAUUGCAUCUUGUCCCGAGAAACUAUUCUUUAGAUUAUUGCUGCUGCGAGAACAGAACCCGCAAAGGUCUGGACAGGAAAGAAAACUCUGACAUGCUGAGAAUUCGUCUAGAAAGUUAAAUCCUUUUUUUAAAAAAUUACGUGUUUAAUUGUCUGUAUUGUUGAAAAAUUGAAAUGUAUGUUGGAUUGAUCUCAAAGUGGAAAGGUGUUCUUAAGUGGGUGGAAUAAUUGUUUUCAAGGUUGUCAUACAGAUACUAAUGAAUCUGUAUAUAAACUUAAAAUAAACACAGUGAACGAAUGUUUGGAUAUAAGUUCGGCACUCCGAACAAG